GAUGAACGCUGGCGGCGUGCCUAAUACAUGCAAGUCGAGCGAACGGACGAGAAGCUUGCUUCUCUGAUGUUAGCGGCGGACGGGUGAGUAACACGUGGAUAACCUACCUAUAAGACUGGGAAAACUUGGGAAAACCGGAGCUAAUACCGGAUAAUAUUUUGAACCGCAUGGUUCAAAAGUGAAAGACGGUCUUGCUGUCACUUAUAGAUGGAUCCGCGCUGCAUUAGCUAGUUGUUAAGGUAACGGCUUACCAAGGCAACGAUGCAUAGCCGACCUGAGAGGGUGAUCGGCCACACUGGAACUGAGACACGGUCCAGACUCCUACGGGAGGCAGCAGUAGGGAAUCUUCCGCAAUGGGCGAAAGCCUGACGGAGCAACGCCGCGUGAGUGAUGAAGGUCUUCGGAUCGUAAAACUCUGUUAUUAGGGAAGAACAUAUGUGUAAGUAACUGUGCACAUCUUGACGGUACCUAAUCAGAAAGCCACGGCUAACUACGUG
This 497-nucleotide ribosomal RNA is filed under the name uncultured bacterium. Its description in RNAcentral is "partial 16S ribosomal RNA". It matches the Rfam family "Bacterial small subunit ribosomal RNA", at positions 28 to 507 of the family's 1533-position model. The record is from RNAcentral.